CAUGUAAUCCUGGUAGGAAUGCAUCAUGAGUCUCUAGGUCUCAUCUAUAAAUGAAGGGCUUGUAGGGGUGUUCUAGUCCCUUCUGUGGAACAUUGUGAUUCCAAAGCAGGGCUCAGCUUAGAGCCCUAAUUUUGCUUAUAGCUCCUUGUCUUUCCAAGACAUUGACUUAAGGCAGAAUAUGCUUCCUGUGCAUCUCUGAAGCAGGACUUGAAACACAGUAUGUGAUGCACAGAACCUGACACACAGUAACCCUCUCCUGCUCUGUGGGACCCUGGGCUUCUUGGGAAAUGCAGCCCUGAAGAGAAAUACAUGUGAAAUUAAAUGAGGUCCUUCUUGUCUAGAUUUAUGUGAUUUUAUUUGGCCUGUUUAAAUUUGUCCCUAAUGUUUGGAGAAUAUAGUUGAGAAAGAACUUUAUGUUUUUUUACAGUGUGUUUUUUAGUGUAUCCCAAUAAGGAAGAGAAUGGAUGGGAAGAAAUUUGAAUGACCUCCUUUUGAAGUUCCCAGGCUAGGGGACAAAUCGGAGCUGCAGCUGCUGGCCUACACCACAGCCACAGCAACACAGGAUCCAAGUUGAGUCUGCAACCUAUGCCACAGCUCAUGGCAAUACCCGAUCCUUAACCCCCUGAGCAAGGCCAGGGAUUGAACCCAAGUCCUCAUGAUACUAGUCAGGUUCGUUACUGCUGAGCUGCGACAGGAACUCCCUAAAUGACCUCCUUUAUGAAAGGAAGUUGAAGGAUUCAAGACUCUCUCAAGUGUCCACGGUGGCCCAAGAUCCAGAUGCACACAGCCUGUGUCCCAGGGCCUCUGGUGGGAUUUGUAAUGAGGUUUCUGAAAAAGUAAAGGCAGGAAAAGAAUAGAGGAAAAUACAAAAUUCAAAUAGAAAGAGGAAAAAAAAAAGGAACCCUGAUGAAACAAAAGCAGCAGAGAAGGAGUGCUGUUCUGGGGGCAGCAGCUUCUCGUGGUCUGAGCUUAAACAGCCUUGGUGCUCUCGCCAGCCUUCCGUAAUGCCAGAGGGACUCACCUUGGUUCAGGUAUUCUAGAAGGGGUCAGAUAGGGAGGACUGCCAUGAUCUGCAAGUUUGUGUCCCUGCAAAAUGCAUCUGUUGAAACCCAAUGGCCAAAGUGAUGGGAUUUGGAGAUGGGGCCUUUGGGAGGUGAUGAGGUCAUGAGGGUGGCGUCCCUGUGAUUGGAAUUAGUGCCUUUUAUACGGGAAAGAGCCCCCCCUCCUUUACCCCGCCCUGGGGGCUAGCUCUUCCCUCCUGCCAAGAAGAGAGAGAAAACGACUGUGAGGAAGUAGAGCCUCACUAGUCACAGAAUCCGCGCCUUGAUCUUGGACUUUCAGCCCCCAGAACUGUGAGCAAUAAAUGUGCAUAGCUGGUAACCCUCGCAGUCUGUGGUACUCUCACAGCAGUCCAGACUGAUGGAGACCAGCACCUUGUACCUAGUGCCCAGUGAACACGAGGUGCAUGUGCUUUCCUCCCCGUGUCAGAUGUUAGCAUCUGUUCUCCCCAUUUUACAGAUGAGAAAGCUGAGACCAGAGAGCAUCCAUGACCUGCCCAGGUAAGCCUAACAUCAGGGUUCAAGUGGUCCUACUCAUCCAAGCUCAUGCACUCACCCUGCAGGGAGGCGCCUAGAAGGCUGCUUCUCAGACCAGCACCUGGCGCACAGGGACAGCUGUGUUAUUUCUCAUGCUGGCUGCUUCCUUUCCAAUCAGGGCGAUAUUGACCUACAUGCUAUGUGAUUUUAAAAUAUUUGGAAAGCGCACAUUAUCUAGUGGGGGUCCUCAGUUAAUGGAUCAGAGGUGCUAGGAGAAUUGUACAGACAUCCCCAGAUAUUAAACCAUCUAAAAGCUCUGCAAUAUUUAAAGGACUUUUACAUCCAUUAUACUAUUUCUUCCUUCUGUGAUGCCAUUGAGUCAAAGAAACUGCCAAGACAUAAAAGGUGACACCAAAUCAUCUGUAAAAGUAAUAAAUUUGUCAGAAACAAAUCACAUUUGGUUUUCAUUUUGUUUUUGAAGAACUGACAGUAACAUAUAUUUGCUUGGACAACAACGUAGGGCUUAUUUCGUCAACAUCACAAUAAAAUUUUUGAAUCCGUUUCUCUCAGACACUGAAGAGAGUUCCAAAUUUCUUUGGUCUCAGAUAAGUCUAUGAGGUCUCAGAAGCGUGCUGUCUCCCCCAGCCCCUGCUCGCAGUUCUGCUCUGCUCUGGGCACUUUGCCCAUUGCUGGGGCAACAGCAAUGAAAAAGAUAACCUCAUUCUGGAAGAAAGACAAAAACGAGCAAACCAAAUAAUUACAAAUUAUGGUAACUAUUCUGAAGGACACAAGCAAGGUAAUGACGUUGAGAAUAAUCUCAGGCACUGUUUUACUUGAGACUGUUUUGAGGCCUACGGAAGGAUGUUGGGGUGUCUACCUAUGUGUUUAAAUGGGUAGUUCAUAUUUUCCUGAGCUGAAUAAGAUGUCACUGGAAGUCUCCCGCCUUCUCUAGAAAGCCAUCUGGAAGCUCUUAGAGUUAUCCGUUCUCCACCGGAACCAUGUCCCUUCGCCAGGCAUGAGUGAGCCGCAUGCUGGGCUCUGACAGUCCCAUAAGCACCUCAGUGUGAUGGGUAGGCGUCUACAUUGAGGUCUUGUCAUUUCAGCUCUGCACCAUUGAGUGAUCUCUUUGAAGGUGUUUCUAAGUGACCAUUAAGGAUCUGAAUUUAAGUGAAAUCCAACUGUGAAUGGUAGUACCGGUGUCAUCUGAGGACUAAUAAGUCAACAGAUGCUUUUCAUGCUUGGCAGUGGCCCACCCUGCCUGGUAGCUGCCAAGGUCCUUUAAUGGGAAGAAUAGGAGAAAUCCCCGUGUUCAAAGACUAAAAUGGUGCAUGUGUCUGUGUGGUGGCAGGGGCUGUGUAUUACAAGCUCAUUUCAUUCUGGGAGAGGCAGUAUGGAUUCUGAACAGCUUCUAAGAUGCUUGAGGGCAGAAAAUGUCCCUUAUUUGGGUCAACAUCCCUAGUGUGUGCCCAGCACAGCACCACACACAGCACAUGUUCAGUCAGUGUUUUGAUGAAUGAAUCAAGUACUCGGGAAAGUUGAGACAGCAUGAUGUAUAGCAAGAAAAACAGACUUUCCAGCCAAUUAGGUCCUUCCAGCCAAUUAGAUCCGAGUCCAUGUGUCAUGGACUGAAUGUUUGUGUGCCUCCAAAAUUCAUAUGUUGAAACCCUACCCCCGAGUGUGAUGGUCUUAAGAGAUGGGCUUUGGAAGGUAACUGGGAUUAGACAGAUCAGGAGGGUAGAACCCUCGUGAAAGCAAUCAGUGCCCCUUAAAGAAAAGAAAACUUUUCUUUUUUUCUUUUUUUUUUGGGGGGGGGGUCAUGCCUACAUCAUAUGGAAGUUCCCAGGCCAGGGAUCCAACCUGUACCACAGCAGCCACCCAAGCUGCUAUACAGUGACAACGCCAAAUCCUUACCCCACUGCACCACAAGGAAACUCCCUUGGUGCCCUUUUAAGAGUCACAAGAGAGCUUGCUUCUCUGCCCUCCAUAUAUGAGGAUACAAGGAGAAGUCUGCAGGCCAGAAGAGGGCCUCACCAAAACCCGACCAAGCUGGCACCUGGUCUCAGACAUCCAGCUUCUAGAACUGUGAGAGAUAUAUUUACUUAUAUCAUGUCUAUGGUGAUGUUAUGGCAGCCUGAACUAAGGCACGAUGUGACCUUGUCAGACUCUCUAACCUAUAACUGGAUUCUCCAGGAUUGGAGAAAAUACACAUAGAUCGCAUGGUCUACAGAGGGGACCUGGAAGGAAUUAUUCCCGUGUAAGAGCUGAUGGUGAUGUGAGGUUAAAAACCUGCAGGGGCAGCAGGAAUAAAGUCUGCUUCUGUCACACAUUCCAUCUGCUUCCUGUCGACCUAGGAUGCUGGAGCAGCUCAUCUGAAUUGUAAAAGUGCCAAGAGGGUGGGCCUGGCAGCCAUGGUGACCAUUUGCAGGACUGGAGAAGCCCUAGAUUCCCCCCAGAAUCCUAAAUGCCUCUGGAGAAUAGUUUGGCAACUAAGAAGUUGCCAUAUGAUCCAGCAAUCCUACUCCUGGGUAUAUAUCUGGAGGAAACUCUAAUUCAAAAAGAUACAGGCAGAGUUCC
This 4109-nucleotide long non-coding RNA is filed under the name Sus scrofa (pig). Its description in RNAcentral is "lncRNA (ENSSSCG00000051992.1)". Lineage: Eukaryota; Metazoa; Chordata; Mammalia; Artiodactyla; Suidae. The record is from RNAcentral.